RNAcentral lists this ribosomal RNA (492 nucleotides) under uncultured bacterium. Its description in RNAcentral is "partial 16S ribosomal RNA". It matches the Rfam family "Bacterial small subunit ribosomal RNA", at positions 29 to 507 of the family's 1533-position model. The record is from RNAcentral.
AGUGAACGCUGGCGGUAGGCCUAACACAUGCAAGUCGAACGGCAGCACAGUAAGAGCUUGCUCUUACGGGUGGCGAGUGGCGGACGGGUGAGGAAUACAUCGGAAUCUACUUUUUCGUGGGGGAUAACGUAGGGAAACUUACGCUAAUACCGCAUACGACCUACGGGUUAAAGCAGGGGAUCUUCGGACCUUUCGCGAUUGUAUGAGCCGAUGUCGGAUUAGCUAGUUGGCGGGGUAAAGGCCCACCAAGGCGACGAUCCGUAGCUGGUCUGAGAGGAUGAUCAGCCACACUGGAACUGAGACACGGUCCAGACUCCUACGGGAGGCAGCAGUGGGGAAUAUUGGACAAUGGGCGCAAGCCUGAUCCAGCAAUACCGCGUGGGUGAAGAAGGCCUUCGGGUUGUAAAGCCCUUUUGUUGGGAAAGAAAAGCAGCAGGUUAAUACCCCGCUGUUCUGACGGUACCCAAAGAAUAAGCACCGGCUAACUUCGUG